ACUCCUACGGGAGGCAGCAGUCGAGAAUCAUUCGCAAUGGGCGAAAGCCUGACGAUGCGACGCCGUGUGUGUGAUGAAGGCCUUCGGGUUGUAAAGCACUUUCGCUUGGGAACAAGAGAGGCGGACGAAUAAUCCGCUAAUUUGAGGGUACCAGGUAAAGAAGCACCGGCUAACUCCGUGCCAGCAGCCGCGGUAAU
Molecule: ribosomal RNA, 197 nt
Filed under: uncultured bacterium
Lineage: Bacteria
Description: partial 16S ribosomal RNA
Rfam family: Bacterial small subunit ribosomal RNA
Source: RNAcentral